This is a non-coding RNA of Musa acuminata subsp. malaccensis (wild Malaysian banana), 613 nucleotides long. NCBI's taxonomy places the organism in Eukaryota, Viridiplantae, Streptophyta, Magnoliopsida, Zingiberales, Musaceae. The record is from RefSeq and is a predicted model, not a curated record.
UCUUCGUCGCUCCUUUUGUGAAGCCGAGUAUUCGCUCUCGUCCUCCUUGUGCUCCGCUCUGUUGCGCGUCGCCGUGAUCGAGAAGCCGACGUCGAUGGACGUAAUCGACCAGGAGUUCCACAGAUUCAAGCAGAUACAAGGAUGAUAUCGAUUAGAGUUUUUUAGCUCAAUGCUUUGAUCCAUUUGGCUGGAUGGUAGUGCUCUGUGAAAAGAUCAUGAAGUUGCACCAGGAGACCUGGCUGCAGUUGUUAGUUUUCUCAUUUCUGGAGUCAGCUACUGCAAGGAUCCCUAUGGGAUAUUGCAAAGAGAAUUAAAUCCCUACAGACGAACCAAGUUGAAUGGAGAGAAGAAUCUGAUAAGAGAUUGAUUAUGGAGUUAUUUGAAGGAUUAUGCCCAGUAUGAUGUUUAUGCACUUCAAGAUUCAUCAGUAAGUAUUGACCUCUAAAUUAUGUGAGCACGCUUUUUACUCUAGUCUACAAAUUUCUGAAAUUUGCAUACUGUUCUUGCAAUUAUUUUUACUAUUAUGUUUGUACAUUAUAUCUUGAAUCAUAUGAUGUAUUAGUCUGUAUGCUUGUUUUAUUAUGUUAUUGGUGUAACAUUACCUUGAAAUUGA